RNAcentral lists this transfer RNA (73 nucleotides) under Bos taurus (domestic cattle). It matches the Rfam family "tRNA". Rfam says of the family: Transfer RNA (tRNA) molecules are approximately 80 nucleotides in length. Their secondary structure includes four short double-helical elements and three loops (D, anti-codon, and T loops). Further hydrogen bonds mediate the characteristic L-shaped molecular structure. tRNAs have two regions of fundamental functional importance: the anti-codon, which is responsible for specific mRNA codon recognition, and the 3' end, to which the tRNAs corresponding amino acid is attached (by aminoacyl-tRNA synthetases). tRNAs cope with the degeneracy of the genetic code in two manners: having more than one tRNA (with a specific anti-codon) for a particular amino acid; and 'wobble' base-pairing, i.e. permitting non-standard base-pairing at the 3rd anti-codon position. Lineage: Eukaryota; Metazoa; Chordata; Mammalia; Artiodactyla; Bovidae. The record is from Rfam by way of RNAcentral. RNAcentral also lists the same sequence under 2 other names.
UGCCUGGUGGUCCUGUGGCUAAGACUCAGCACUCCCAAUGCAGGGGACCUGGGUUUGAUUCCCAGUCGGGGAG